This 249-nucleotide ribosomal RNA is filed under the name uncultured bacterium. RNAcentral describes it as "partial 16S ribosomal RNA". It matches the Rfam family "Bacterial small subunit ribosomal RNA", at positions 99 to 339 of the family's 1533-position model. The record is from RNAcentral.
CGCACGGGUGAGAAACACGUGGGUAAUCUACCCCUUAGAUUGGAAUAACCUGUCGAAAGACGGGCUAAUGCCAAGUACGCUCCUUAAAUCAUAAAGGUUUUUGGAGGAAAGAUGGCGCAAGCUAUCGCUGAGGGAUGAGCCUGCGCCCCAUUAGCUAGUUGGUGAGGUAAUGGCUUACCAAGGCUACGAUGGGUAGCUGGUCUGAGAGGAUGAUCAGCCACACUGGAACUGAAACACGGUCCAGACUCC